CUUAACUUCGGAACAAGAACAAUACUAUACCGGUUGGUGAACAAUAAAAAUAGGGGAGAUGCCUGAUUCCUUAAUGAACAAACGCAUGAUUUAGAACCUUCUCACUCCACUGAGACUUCAGAGUCUAUGCAUGACACUGCCACAUUCCUUCCUCCAUUUGCCACUACACUGCUCUCACCGUUUCUUGCCACGCUGUGUUCAAUUUGCCUCUUGAGUAGAGCGCCCACUGCUGGUACUCAUCGGUAAAGCAGGCGAGAGUCCCUACUGAACACAGUCUCCUCCACAUUCCCAUCUUGAGGACAAUUAAGAAGAAUGUUGUGACUUCUGAGUGGAGCUUUAAGCUGUGCCCAGGCACUCUGAGGACGCUCAACUCCUCCUUCACUGCAUGUGUCCAUCACGACGUUUUCUCUGGAGUGA
Sorex araneus (European shrew) is the source of this 417-nucleotide long non-coding RNA. RefSeq lists it as uncharacterized. NCBI's taxonomy places the organism in Eukaryota, Metazoa, Chordata, Mammalia, Eulipotyphla, Soricidae. The record is from RefSeq and is a predicted model, not a curated record. The transcript has 3 exons.